GGGGCUCCAUGCACAGCUCUCCCUGGGAACAGGUCUUCUCCUUGCCCUGUCUUAAUCUGGGGAUAGGUGUCUGGGCGUCCCCAGCGAGACCCCUCUCUGCUGCUGACAGGGCUCCCAGGAGGAACAACAGUGGCACCCCAGAGAGGUGUGGGGGUGCUGAGAGAAUUGGGUCAGCAGUGGGGGCCUCACACUCUGGCCCCUCACUCCCUGUGCCUGAGCAAUUCAUCAGGUGCUGUCUUUCUUAGACGGACAGCUGUGUGCAAUUGUGUUCUGUUUCUGACUUUGGGUUUAGUGACAUCAGUAAGCCUGAAUGGUCUCCCCGGCGCACAAUCCUUCUGGUUCACAAAAUCAGUCAAACACACAGGCACCAGGGAGCUCUUGAACCAGAGAGUCCGGUACUUUCAUUUUGUCCUAAAGGUACAGAUUGUUAUCAUUUUCAUUUUUUUUCAAGGCAACAGUGAGCAAGGAUUUUGUUAUCAUUUUCAAACUGACACAUUUACCACACUGACAAUAUUCUCUGACCCAGCACAGACGUUCAUAACAAAAGCAUCAGUGACAUAGUUACACAUGUUAAAACAUUGAAAACCACUAUUCUAAUAAACCACAGUUAAAGAAGAAGUCAUAUUGGAAAUUAAAAUACCUAGAAAUGAUUAAAACUAAGAUACUACUAUCAAAACUAUUGGGCUGCAGUAAAAGCUGUACCUGAGAAAAAUCUAACCCUAUAUAUUUGCAUUGGGAAAUAAGAAAGGUUAAAUUCUUUUUUUCUCUGAGAUUGAGUCUUGUUCUGUUGCCCAGGCUGGAGUGCAGUGACGUGAUCUUGGCUCACUGCAACUUCUGUCUCCCGGGCUCAAGUGAUUCUCCUGUCUCAGCUUCCUAAGUAGCUGGGAGUACAGUUGUGCACCACCACGCCUGGCUACUUUUUGUAUUUUUAGUAGAGAUGGGGUUUCAUCAUGUUGCCCAGGCUCGUCUUGAACCCCUGACCUCAGAUGAUCCACCCUCCUCGGCCUCCCAAGGUGCUGGGAUUACAGGCGUGAGCCACCGUGCCUGGCCUUAUUUUUGAAUUAAUAAUGUUCUCAGCCAUUAGAGUGAUAUUUGGUGAGUAGGAGGGAGACUUUUUUCUUAGGUGAUCAAUGCUGGAGUUAUUAGGGGGAAACUGGUGGGAAGCCUGAAGUUAGCAAGCUCAGGGUCCAACCUCCACAUUUCAAAACUCAACUGAAGAAAAGAGACAGGACUGAGAAUGCCUAUUAACAAAACAGAAAAAUCAGCACAGCCAUGGCUGUGUGUUUGAAGGAACAAAAAUUAGACAAAUAUCUGGCAAGACUGAAUAAGGAAAAAAGAUCCACAGAUGAAUAAUGUAAAUGAAAAAAAUGAGUCAUAAUGACAAAUAACUCCCAGAUUUUGUAAUGCAAAAAGACAAGAUUUUCACGUCCAGUUAGCAUGAGGAAAGAGUGUGAAGCCAACCUUUCUAUUUCAACAAUGAGAAAAAAUGGAAUUAUGUACAAAAAUUAUCAUUUCUUUCAAAUGCAUUGGAAAAUGGUGGGUGCAAAUCUGAAGGAACUGCCAGUCUUGGGGGGCCCCUUUCUCGCAGUGGAGCUGAAUGGUGCUGAGGGCGGGUUAGUCAUCGGCAGAGCUCUACCUGCGGGGAGAGACUGAUGUUUCUUGGUUCUUUUGCAUAUAAUUUCUAGCACACUACCAAAAAUUAUAAGAAUUACAGGAGAGUGUGAUUUUCAACCAAGAGAUAAGCUAUUCAAUAGAAGCAGAUGCACAGAUAACCCAGAUGAAAGAAUUAGCAGACAAAUGCUUUACAAUAUUCUUGUAAAUACAUGAAAUGAGAUGGAGGAAAGGAUGAACAAAAUGGAUGAAAAGAUGGAGAAUUUCAACAGAGAGAUGAAAGCUAUGAAAGUAGGUGCUCAUUAUUUGUUAUUAAAAAUAAAAUAAAUAAUAAAAAUAAGUGUUUAUUAUAUUAACCAAUUAAUAUAAUACCUGAAAUUAAGAACUCAUUGGAUGGGCUUAAGAGCAGACUAAACAUAUAGUAGCAAAAAGGAUUGAUGAAGUUUCAGACAGGUCCAUAGAAAUUAUCCAAAAUAAAGCACAGAGAAAAGAUAGAAUUAAAAGUACACAAACACACACACCCACAUACACACAUGCACAGAGAGAGACAGAGACAGAGAGAAGAGGGCCAUAUGGUACUGAUCCAACUGUCUAACAUGUGUAUUGGAAUCCCAGGAGAAGGGUGAGAAUGGGAUAGGAGCAAUAUUAUUUUGAUGGAUAAUAGCCAAUUUUCCAAAAUUGGUAAGAGACAUUAACCCAAGAUUCAAUAGGCUUAUCAAACUCCAUGAAGUAUAAAACUGGAGAAAACCAUAUUUAGUCACAUCAUAAUCAAACUGCUGAAACUAAAGGAAAAGAGAAAAAUGUUAGCUGCAGCCAGGAGAAAAAAACACCUUAGCACUAGAGAACCCCGGGGACGACGGCUGUCUCCUCAAACAGGGACCCCGGGGACGACGGCUGUCUCCUCAAACAGGGACCCCGGGGACGACGGCUGUCUCCUCAAACAGGGACCACGAGGAUGAUGGCUGUCUCCUCAAACAGGAACCCCGGGGACGAUGGCUGUCUCCUCAAACAGGGACCCCGGGGACGACGGCUGUCUCCUCAAACAGGGACCCCGGGGACGACGGCUGUCUCCUCAAACAGGGACCCCGGGGACGAUGGCUGUCUCCUCAAACAGGAAUCCCGAGGACGACGGCUGUCUCCUCAAACAGGAGCCCUGGGGACAACGGCUGUCUCCUCGAACAGGAACCCCGAGGAUGAUGGCUGUCUUCUCAAACAGGAGCCCCGGGGAUGACGGCUGUCUCCUCAAACAGGGACCAUGAGGAUGAUGGCUGUCUUCUCAAACAGGAGCCCCGAGGACGACGGCUGUCUCCUCAAACAGGGACCCCGAGGACGAUGGCUGUCUUCUCAAACAGGAGCCCCGGGGACGACGGCUGUCUCCUCAAACAGGAGCCCCGGGGACGACGGCUGUCUCCUCAAACAGGAACCCCGAGGACGACGGCUGUCUCCUCAAACAGGGACCCCGAGGAUGAUGGCUGUCUUCUCAAACAGGAGCCCCGGGGAUGACGGCUGUCUCCUCAAACAGGAACCCCGAGGAUGACGGCUGUCUCCUCGAACAGGAGCCCCGGGGACGACGGCUGUCUCCUCGAACAGGGACCCCGAGGACGACAGCUGUCUCCUCAAACAGGGACCCCAAGAAUGACGGCUGUCUCCUCAAACAGGAACCCCGAGGACGACGGCUGUCUCCUCAAACAGGAACCCCGGGGACGACGGCUGUCUCCUCAAACAGGAACCCCGAGGACGACGGCUGUCUCCUCAAACAGGAACCCCGGGGACGACGGCUGUCUCCUCAAACAGGGACCCCGAGGACGACGGCUGUCUCCUCAAACAGGGACCCCGGGGACGACGGCUGUCUCCUCAAACAGGGACCCCGGGGACGACGGCUGUCUCCUCAAACAGGAACCCCGAGGACGACGGCUGUCUCCUCAAACAGGAACCCCGGGGAUGACGGCUGUCUCCUCAAACAGGGACCCCGGGGACGACGGCUGUCUCCUCAAACAGGGACCACGAGGACGACGGCUGUCUCCUCAAACAGGAAUCCCGAGGACGACGGCUGUCUCCUCAAACAGGGACCCCGGGGACGACGGCUGUCUCCUCAAACAGGAACCCCGAGGACGACGGCUGUCUCCUCAAACAGGAAUCCCGAGGACGACGACUGUCUCCUCAAACAGGGACCCCGGGGACGACGGCUGUCUCCUCAAACAGGGACCCCGAGGACGACGGCUGUCUCCUCAAACAGGAACCCCGAGGACGACGGCUGUCUCCUCAAACAGGAACCCCGAGGACGACGGCUGUCUCCUCAAACAGGGACCACGAGGACGACGGCUGUCUCCUCAAACAGGAAUCCCGAGGACGACGGCUGUCUCCUCAAACAGGGACCCCGGGGAGGACGGCUGUCUCCUCAAACAGGAAUCCCGAGGACGACGGCUGUCUCCUCAAACAGGGACCACGAGGACGACGGCUGUCUCCUCAAAGAGGAAUCCCGAGGACGACGGCUGUCUCCUCAAACAGGAACCCCGAGGACGACGGCUGUCUUCUCUAACAGGAGCCCCGGGGACGACGGCUGUCUCCUCAAACAGGAACCCCGGGGACGACGGCUGUCUCCUCAAACAGGGACCCCGAGGACGACGGCUGUCUCCUCAAACAGGAACCCCCAGAAUGACGGCUGUCUUCUCAAACAGGAACUUCGGAAGCCAGAAGCAGACACUGGACUCAUUCGAUCCCCAGGAGGGUGAGGAGUCCGAGGGCUGCUCUGAUUCGCUGAAGUUUGUCUGUGCACUAGCACCCUGGAAUGAGCAGUCUCCAGGCCAUGAAGACCUUGUCCCUGGUCCUGCUGGUGGCCCUGCUGAGCAUGGAGAGAGCUCAGGGUCUGCGCUGCUACAGAUGCUUGGCGGUCUUGGAAGGGGCCUCCUGCAGCGUGGUCUCGUGCCCCUUCCUGGAUGGGGUCUGUGUCUCCCAGAAAGUGAGCGUCUUUGGCAGUAAAGUGAGAGGGGAGAACAAGCUCUCCCUCCUCUCCUGCCAGAAGGACGUCGGAUUCCCCCUGCUGAAACUUACAAGUGCCGUUGUGGACUCCCAGAUCUCUUGCUGCAAGGGAGACCUCUGCAAUGCGGUGGUCCUGGCAGCCAGCAGCCCCUGGGCCCUGUGCGUACAGCUCCUGCUCAGCCUGGGGUCAGUCUUCCUCUGGGCCCUGCUGUGAGGGCCUUUCCCGCCCUCUCCCCCGCAGGCCUACCCUCUGUCCCUGUGCGUCACCAGCUGCUUGGUUUUGAAGAGCUGCCUCACUGAAUUGCAGGAAUUCUGGUGUGGCUUUUCAGCCAUGAGAUCAGGGGAAGGAUGUGGCCAGGGCAGAGGUCGGGGCUUCCCUGUCAGGGAACAUAUCCCUGCUUAAACUCCUUGUCCUCUGGGCCCAGGCCCUCCAGCCCAUGCCCCCCAACAACACCACUUUUUUCAGAGCUGGGCCUCAGAGACCAGGCCCCACCACUGGCUGCUUGGGACCUAGGGUCAUAGAGAAACCGUGGCCCAGGGCGGGAGUCCCCAGCUCCAUCCAGCUUGCCACUAACUUGCCGAGGAGCCAGGGCCAACCCCUCAGCUCUCUGGGCUACCUGAAUCCAAGCAAGGAGGGAACGUGGUCCCAGGGGGCCCUGCUGGCCUCCCACACAGGAUGAGGGCCUCCCUCUCAAGGUCAACAAACAGCCCUUUGCUGACCCACUCAGCGUCAGCACUCGGCUUCUUCCUCACCAUUCCUGAGGCCGCCCACCUGCCACUCUGACCUCAGGCCUCUGCAACAUCCUGCUGGCACCAUGGCCUUGGGGAGGUGCUCCUGGGGCACGGGUGCCCCCCCAGGGACCAGAACCCACAGAGUGCCAGGCUCAUGGCUCUUCUGGCAGAACUCUUGCCAUGUGGCUCCAGGGAACAUCUGAGUAGGGUUGUCAGAGAGCCUCUGGAUGGUCACCAAGAGGCAGAGCUCCUGCGGCCACCAGCCAUCCUGUGGUGUGGGCCAGGCCUGUCAUUUCUGUGCCCUGGCUAGGGCUCCCAUGAUGCCCCGUGUCAGGGGUUAGACUGGUCUCCCCUGGUGGUGGGAGAAAGGGGCUCCUUCAGGACUGCACUCUGGACAGAAAGUCAGGGCUGGGCUCAGAAUGGUCUGGGUGGACGGUCAUCUCAGCCUGGAGUCAGGGCUGGGCUGAGAACGCCCUGGGUGGACGGUCGUCUCAGCCUGGAGUCAGGGCUGGGCUGAGAACGCCCUGGGUGGACGGCCGUCUCAGCCUGGAGUCAGGGCUGGGCUGAGAACGCCCUGGGUGGACGGCCGUCUCAGCCUGGAGUCAGGGCUGGGCUGAGAACGCCCUGGGUGGACGGCCGUCUCAGCCUGGAGUCAGGGCUGGGCUGAGAACGCCCUGGGUGGACGGCCGUCUCAGCCUGGAGUCAGGGCUGGGCUGAGAACGCCCUGGGUGGACGGCCGUCUCAGCCUGGAGUCAGGGCUGGGCUCAGAACAGUCUGGGUGGACGGCUAUUGUCAGGGACCCCAAACAGAGGGACCGGCUGAAGCCAUGGAAGAAGAACAUAAAUUGUGAAGAUUUCAUGGACAUUUAUUAGUUCCCCAAAUUAAUACUUUUAUAAUUUCUUAUGCCUGUCUUUACUGCAAUCUCUGAACAUAAAUUGUGAAGAUUUCAUGGACACUUAUCACUUCCCCAAUCAAUACCCUUGUGAUUUCCUAUGCCUGUCUUUAAUCUUUUAAUCCCAUCAUCUUCGUAAGCUGAGGAGGAUGUAUAUUGCCUCAGGACCCUGUGAUGAUUGUGUUAACUGCACAAAUUGUUUGCAGAGCAUGUGUGUUUGAACAAUAUGAAAUCUGGGUACCUUGAAAAAAGAACAGGGUAACAGCAACGUUCAGGGAACAAGAGAGAUCACCUUAAACUCUGGUUGCCUGUGAGCCAGGUGAAACAGAGCCAUAUUUCUCUUCUUUCAAAAGCAAAUAGGAGAAAUAUCGCUGAAUUCUUUUUCUCAGCAAGGAACAUCCCUGAGAAAGAGAAUGUAUCCCUAAGGGGAGGCCUCUGAAAUGUCUGCUUUGGGGACGGCUGCCUUUUACAGUUGUAGAUAAGGGAUGAAAUAAGCCCCAGUCUCCCGCAGUGCUCCCAGGCUUAUUAGGAUGAGGAAAUUCCCGCCUAAUAAAUUUUGGUCAGACUGGUUGUCUGCUCUCAAACCCUGUCUCCUGAUAAGAUGUUAUCAAUGACAAUGUGUGCCCAAAACUUCAUUAGCAAUUUUAAUUUCGCCCCGGUCCCGUGGUCCUGUGAUCUCGCCCUGCCUCCGUUUGCCUUGUGAUAUCUUAUUACCUUGUGAAGCAUGUGAUCUCUGUGACCCACAUCCUAUUUGUACACUCCCUCCCCUUCUGAAAAUCACUAAUAAAAAUUUGCUGGUUUUACGGCUCAGGGGGCAUCACGGAACCUGCCGACAUGUGAUGUCUCCCCCGGACGCCCAGCUUUGAAAUUUC
Non-coding RNA from Homo sapiens (human), 7086 nucleotides. The record is from RefSeq and is a predicted model, not a curated record. Lineage: Eukaryota; Metazoa; Chordata; Mammalia; Primates; Hominidae.